ACGAACGCUGGCGGCGUGCUUAACACAUGCCAGUCGAACGGAAAGGCCCUGCUUUUGUGGGGUGCUCGAGUGGCGAACGGGUGAGUAACACGUGAGUAACCUGCCCUUGACUUUGGGAUAACUUCAGGAAACUGGGGCUAAUACCGGAUAGGAGCUCCUGCUGCAUGGUGGGGGUUGGAAAGUUUCGGCGGUUGGGGAUGGACUCGCGGCUUAUCAGCUUGUUGGUGGGGUAGUGGCUUACCAAGGCUUUGACGGGUGGCCGGCCUGAGAGGGUGACCGGCCACAUUGGGACUGAGAUACGGCCCAGACUCCUACGGGAGGCAGCAGUGGGGAAUAUUGCACAAUGGGCGGAAGCCUGAUGCAGCAACGCCGCGUGCGGGAUGACGGCCUUCGGGUUGUAAACCGCUUUCGCCUGUGACGAAGCGUGAGUGACGGUAAUGGGUAAAGAAGCACCGGCUAACUACGUG
RNAcentral lists this ribosomal RNA (467 nucleotides) under uncultured bacterium. RNAcentral's name for it is "partial 16S ribosomal RNA". It matches the Rfam family "Bacterial small subunit ribosomal RNA", at positions 29 to 507 of the family's 1533-position model. The record is from RNAcentral.